Non-coding RNA from Misgurnus anguillicaudatus (oriental weatherfish), 2667 nucleotides. The record is from RefSeq and is a predicted model, not a curated record. NCBI's taxonomy places the organism in Eukaryota, Metazoa, Chordata, Actinopteri, Cypriniformes, Cobitidae.
AAGCCAUGCAAAGUGUGUCCUCUGCCUGUGAGAGACAGAGUAAACAUGCGGUUACAAACUCAGAAACACAAACUAAUGUGACAAUAACAAAGGACUCAUAAUAAUGUGCCACGACCCAUAAAACACUAAAGCAGUUUAACUAUGGUAUUUUAAAAACCGUAGUAACCACGAAUUUACCAUGGCCCUACAGUUUAACCAUGAUUUUGUAAUACAAAUGCUAAUCAAAACAUGGCUUUAUCCUAGUAAAAGUACAGAAGUAUUUGUCACAGGUGAGGUUUUGUGAGGGCGGAACCAAAAGUGUGGAAGACGGGUUCCGCCCGACGAUGGUUCCGCCCGGACGUGUUACUCUGAACACCGGAAUUUCCGGGGUUUCCCCGAUUACGAAAUCAAGCCUGAUUUCGCCCAGGUGAGGGUAAUCUACACAGCGGUUGCUGAUAGGCUGAUGAGGAGAAGAGUUAGAGGAUAUAAAGACCUUUGAAGACAUCAAACGGUGUGCUUGUUGUGUACCUUGUGUACGCUGUGUUGCUGCUUUGCAGACGGACUACGCUGGCCUGAUCGUUCUCCUGGGGAAGAGAGAAAAAGAAAGUCAGCUGGGCGAAGGAAUACUGGGUGAUUUCACUUGUGAGUGAGCGGAUACAGAGCUAUUGAGUUUGCAGAUACAGGAAACUAUUGACAAACGAAGAGUGAGUAACAGUUGUAGUAAUUCUCUGUGUAAUACCUGGAAGAAGAGUUUGCUGGGUGUGUGUUUUUCUUGUGUUUGAGGUCCCUGGCCCCACUGGAGAGGGAAGCGUGGGCGAGCCGCGGGUUGACCGGAAACACGGAAGAGAUAUUUGGUAAGAAGCGCUGUUUACUAAUAGAGCAGUGGCCCUGCGGGAAAAGGAAGCGUGGGUGAGCCAGAGGAGUGAUUAACAACACGCCGGGGCUGUGAAUAACAUAUAUCUUACCCUCAUCGGUGGCCUAACGAUCGCCCAACUAUUCCUCUCGAGGGAGUCGAAGCAAAGUGGCUAGGUCGAUUAAGAAUCACGUGAAGUGUGUACAAGAGUGCUGUGGGUGAGUUUCACUUCUUAUUGGUGUUUACGCUAUGCUUGCUGUGUGUAUGCUGUGCUUGUAGCGACCAAACUGCCCAGCCUCGGACGAGUCGCGAGAUGACGACAUCUGUUGUGGCCUGAGCCAUACGGAGAGAGAGGAACACUAAGUCUUUGGCCCCGGGUGUGUCAACGAGAGCUUCACUCCUCCAAAGAGCAGACAGUGGUGAAACCCAAAGCUCGUGGUGUGCGGAGCCCCGACGAGAGUUCGCCCCAACUCGUGACCCCGGUCGAGGAAGUAGGAGGGGGAUUUUGGGAAGCGUUCGGCUCCGCGCCACUGGACCCACCAGUCCCUACGACGCCCGGACAGUUGAGUGGAUGGGUGAAGGAAUACGGUGCACCAACGCUGUAGCGAAAGUCCACUGUCUGUGAGUGAGCAUAAAGAUCUCCAGUGUUGUGAGUAACGUAUCCUGUGAAGUGAAAUUAAUCUGUGCUUAUAGCAAUUACUUACCUGUGUCCCAGCGAAGGAUCUGUUUGUGUGAACGAAGACCCCCAGUGUUGUGAGUAACGUAUCCUGUGAAGUGAAAUUAAUCUGUGCUUAUAGCAAUUACUUACCUGUGUCCCAGCGAAGGCUCUGUGUGUGUGAACGAAGACCCCCAGUGCUGUGAGUAACGUAUCCUGUGAAGUGAAAUUAAUCUGUGCUUAUAGCAAUUACUUACCUGUGUCCCAGCGGAGGCUCUGUGUGUGUGAACGAAGACCCCCAGUGUUGUGAGUAACGUAUCCUGUGAAGUGAAAUUAAUCUGUGCUUAUAGCAAUUACUUACCUGUGUCCCAGCGAAGGCUCUGUGUGUGUGAACGAAGAUCCCCAGUGCUGUGAGUAAUCCAUCCUGUGUAGAGAUAUUGACCUGUGCUUAUAGCAAUCACUUACCUGUGUCCCAGCGAAUGCUCUGUGUAAACGAAGAUCCCCAGUGCUGUGAGUAAUCCAUCCUGUGUAGAGAUAUUGACCUGUGCUUAUAGAAAUCACCUACCUGUGUUCCAGCGAAUGCUCUGUGUAAACGAAGAUCCCCGGUACUGGAAGGCCCUGUGAGAAACGAGACCCCUAGCGCCGUGAGUAACUGACUUCUGUGUAGUGACACUUACCUGGGUUCGCAGCAACCCCUGUCUGUAUUCCAGUCCACGCUUGGUGGGAACGAAGACCCCCAGUGCCGUGAGUAACUUACCUUGGUGUGGCGACAUCUACUGGGAAUUGUGGUAACUGCCUACCUGGUGCCAGCGAGUGCUCUGUGGUGUCCGAAGUCCCCGUACUGUGAGUUGUCUCCCUGAACGCCUCGCUAACGAUUCUGUUUCCAGGGUCUAAAGAGCAACGUACCUAAAGCACAGAAGAGAGAGGGAGAAAACGAAGAGUUAGAGAAGUAGUGACCCGUAGCAACAUACAGCUGGAUAAUUCUUUGUUUGAUUCUGCCUCCAGGAAGAAGCGGAGCGCGCCACAGAUUCUAGGACCAGAGCCCCACAGGAGCCCCUGUCCCCAGUCCUUGUCGCAAGUGGCCCUGGAGGCGAGAAAAAGCCACAUUAGUUUUAAUUUGCCUCUCCCCUUUCCCCUUUUUCCCUUUUUAAAUAUUUAAAUAAAGUUUGUUUUAAACGUA